GACGAACGCUGGCGGCGUGCUUAACACAUGCAAGUCGAACGGAAAGGCCCUGCUUUUGUGGGGCGCUCGAUUGGCGAACGGGUGAGUAACACGUGAGUAACCUGCCCUUGACUUUGGGAUAACUUCAGGAAACUGGGGCUAAUACCGGAUAGGAGCUCCUGCUGCAUGGUGGGGGUUGGAAAGUUUCGGCGGUUGGGGAUGGACUCGCGGCUUAUCAGCUUGUUGGUGGGGUAGUGGCUUACCAAGGCUUUGACGGGUAGCCGGCAUGGGAGGGUGACCGGCCACAUUGGGACUGCGGUACGGACCAGACUCCUACGGGAGGCAGCGGGGGAGAAUAUUGCACAAUGGGCGGAAGCCUGAUGCAGCAACGCCGCGUGCGGGAUGACGGCCUUCGGGUUGUAAACCGCUUUCGCCUGUGACGAAGCGUGAGUGACGGUAAUGGGUAAAGAAGCACCGGCUAACUACGUG
Molecule: ribosomal RNA, 468 nt
Filed under: uncultured bacterium
Lineage: Bacteria
Description: partial 16S ribosomal RNA
Rfam family: Bacterial small subunit ribosomal RNA
Source: RNAcentral